CUGCCGCCACAGUGGCAAUGACGGCUGUGGCACACUUCUUAAAGACUGGGCCUGCCAUCUCCUUGGUUUCUCCCUCCAAUGUCGCCUCUACAGCAGCCUCUUAGAUAGGAGCACUGGUGCUGUCCUUCCACUUUUGUUCUUAGUGUAGAUCUUUAUUCCCACUCACCCCCAUUCCUGAUGUAGAUCUUUAUUACCCCCCCUCCCUCGUUCCCAGUGUUGAUCUUCACUCGUUCCUUGUUUCCUGGUGGGGAGGCACCAUUUGGUGGUUCGCAUCAGAUGCCAAAAUGUCUUGGACUGGCCCUGCUUUCCUAUACAUUUACACCCAUGUCCAGGCAACCCUGUGCAGUGUGUGAUGUCUUUUACUUGUUUCAGUGGAGCCAAGCAGCAUCCACACACAAAAUAUGCAUUUGGCUUCUUAUUUUCCAUUUGUGGGGCUCCAAGUCCCAUGAGCCCCAGUGGGCAUUUAAGUGAAUGAGAAACCCAUUCCAAGUGGAAGUGCUCAGUGUUGGCUUUAAAACUGAGCUGUUGUAGGUGAUUUUGAAGACUUAUAUUUCCCCUUCAUCAUCUCAUCUUUCCAUCUGCCAUUGGUAGAAUCCCCUGGAUCUUAAACUGCUUAGAACUUAAGCUUCUCUGGACAAUUCACUAGGAAUCAGUUAAUCUGAUUUCUUCGCUGCUGCAUCGGGAAUUUACUCCUUCCCUGGUGCUGUUUUUCCUCUCUUCUUUAGAGCAGCCUUGUAAAUAUGUGAAACAUGUUCUGAGUUGAACCACCAUUUUCUGACUUAGAUCACCAUUUUUUCUUACCAAACUGGUCCUGUGGAUCAGCUUAUGAUGGUUAGCAGUGCAGUGUUCUUGUCAACAGGGAGACAUGUAUUUGCCUGUGCCCCUCUUAUUAUUCCACUUAUAUCCCACCUUUCCUUCAAGGAGUUCAAGGUGGUGCAUAUGACUCCCCUUCUCCUCAUUUCAUCCACAGAGCAACCCUGUGAGGUUGGUUAGACUGAGAAAUAGUGACUGCCCCAAAGUCACCCGGUAAGCUUCAAGGCUGGGUUUAGGUCUCCCUGGUCCUAGUCCAGCACUCUAUAAGCACUAUGCCAUACUGGUUCUUUGAUGAGAACAGCUGCAUUCCUUUCUUACUAGAAACUCUGGAUGGUGUAGAGCCAGAAAAACCUCAGCCUCUUCAUGCCUUCAGCUAAGGGAUGUAAACCUAUUUGGAUGGGGCAGCUGUGCUGCACAGAGGCUAGGAAAACACUUAUUCCAUUCUACAGUUAAAGGCAGCUGUCCGGCUGGAGUUUUGCAUCUGUAAUAGGAGCAGCAUAUGGUUAUAGUAAGUGUUAACUAUAAGGAAUUGCUUCAGGUUUUCCUUUCAAAUCUUUCCUCAUCACUGUUGCUCUCAUCUCUAUCUGAAUCUCCUCUGUUUUUCUUAAUACAUGAUGAUUAAAGCGGGAUGCAGUUAAAAGCCCAAAAUGGUACCCAGUGAAAUUGCCAGUUUUGCUUGUGCUGAGGAAGUUCUUAGCCUUGAUUGUUUUUAAAUCUUACUACCAAUACAGCGUGCAAAAUUGUAAUCUCUUGCUGGAAACCCAGCACAUUUCCUCCAAUUUUGAGAAACGCUGUUGUAGUCAUUGCUACAGAUUGUGGGGCGAGUGGGUGGGUGUCAGGGGACCCGUAAUGUGACUCCCAGCUUCAUUGGACUUGAGCAGUCUAAGAUAGUCUUCUUGUGGUGUCCAAUUCUAGACUGAAUGUGGGAACCAUCAGUGGGAAAUUUUACAUCUCUGGGCCAAAGCUGUAUGGAAUGUACAUUAAUACAUUUCCACUGUGUUGCUGUUAGCAGAACUCCUUUUACAGUAUUGUUAUAACAGUCACCCCUCUUGUUUGGCGAGUUCUGAUAGUACUGUUUAGUCUGAGAAGAAUCUUUUGUCCUAAGCCCAUUAGCAUCUCACAGUUAUUCAGAGCCCAUUUCUGGAUUGUUUUGUUUAUUUAAAGUUUACUUACAGUAGCACUGGAAAUGGAUCCAAAUGGAACAUAAACAACUGGUCCCAACUCAUGCCCUGCAUUUUUGUUUCCUAAUACUUAACUAUCCUGCUGCAAACUGGGGGGGGGGGGGGAUAAUCUUUGUAUUCUACUCCCUGAUGCAAAAUUGAUAAAUAUAUUUAAAAUGCUAUGACAUCUUGAAAUUCAGGGCCAUUCCCACAGUAAACUAGUAUGUUGAGAAUGUGAGCUAAGUGGGAAUACGCAGAGUUCAGCGCAUGGCGAAAACAGUUAUUUGAUUCACUACUCAGUCAUAUAAUAGUUUCAUCCACAUUCACCACAUCACUGCUCAAUCUGUUUUUGGAAGCUAUAUGAAAGAUGUGGUAACUGAGUUGAACUGCAUGCUGGAUAUGUGGUGAGGCACUCAUACAGCCAUUUUAACGUGUGCCAAGCUACAUGGAUGCAUUGAACCAGCAACAUCCACAGCAUAAUAUUCAGUGAUGUGAAUUUUAUUUAACUGGUGUAUUAUGUCAUCAAGUGCCUGCCAGAAUAAUGUUUUUCUUCUGCCUAACACAAAUUGGCACAACUGUUGUUUUGGAAAACGAGACAGUUUAUUGUUGAAAGAUCAUGCAAACUUUCAGCUCACACAAAACCCCUUAAUCAAGUAGAAUAGAAAUAUACCCGAUUCAGAACUCAUGCGAAUUGUAAGAAUAUUUACAAAGAAGAAUACCUUGACUCAGUGCUUUUUUUCUAAAAAAAAAUGUCUAGGGCUACUCUCAUUUUCCUACACAUAUUGAAAUUCUGCCUCUCAGUGAGGCCAAACUUAGAUUCACUGCCUUGAAGGUGUCCUUCUUGAUUAUUUUAAAGUUAGGCCACUUGUACCUACCAUUCUGACAGCACUGUGUAACUAUUAAAUAGAAGCAGGAGAAUAUUCUAAUUGAUUAUGCCAUGUGUAUAAUGGAGAAAAAGCUGCCUUUCCAUUUUGAUUCAUAAAGACUUAAUAAUAAAUUAUAAUAUGUAUAAUUUCUACUGAGCUGAACAAUGAAGUAUUGCAGAGUUAGCUUGAAAACUUGAACUCUGAUGAACAGGUUUAGUGAGUGGCUGCAUCCAACAUUUUUUUAUCCCAAAGCAAUUUGCCAUACCAGAAGAACCUACUCUUGCAUUGCUUUAGCUAUAAGUGGAUCUCUCCCCUGUUUCCAUGCUAGAGUUCCUUCUAGCUGUUAUUUUUUAGUUUUUGUCUCUUGCUACAUUUGGAAAUUUAAUCUCAUCAUUGAGGGUUGCUUUCUUAUGAAAGCUGUAGACACUUUCCCUCUUUAUUCUAAAAAAAAAAUCACUAGAAUCACAGUUUGGUCAUAUAACACUUUUGUUUUUCUCAGGCAUUGAAACCUUCCAAAGAAUAUGUAAUAUAAAUUUUCUUUCAGUAUUUUCCCAUUUGAUGUGACAGACAUGGGUACUUACAAUCCCUUCAUAAAAUAGUUACCCAUCUUCAAUUUCUUGCUAGGCAAGAAAGCAGAAAUAAUUGUUUCUGUUGGCCUGGCUGCUCUGGUUUUCCCAUUCAGAAGUCCUCUGUUGGGCCUCUAAGUAGUGCUGGAAUCUUUUGGUGUGUUGAGAAUAAUGUUGGCAUUCGUUCUGAGUAAGACAAAUUUGAACUGUCUAGGAUGGGAAUAGUCUCCCACGCAGAACACAGAACCAAAAUCAGAGAAAUAGUUCCACACAAAAUCAUUCUGUUUCCCAAAGGCUUCACGAUGCUGCAUUGAAGAGCUUUAUAGGUUUAAGGUUUCAUAUGAAGCAGAUCAAGCUAGGUUUUCAUAUGAGUGGUAUUUUUAAUUCACACGUCUUAAGUCUUCAAACUUCUUACUCUACAAACAGUUCUUUAUGCAAGAAAAAUGUCUUAACAACCACUUCAGUUUUUUUGUUUAGAAAAAAAAUGCAAAUAACUCCAAACCACAAUGCUAAACCAACUAGAGAAGAGAAUGCCAAAUAUGCAAAGUUAUUUCACAAUGUAGAAAGACAUUACCUUUUCCCUCUUCAGUUACUACCACAUAUGAGAUCAUAAGCAAUUACAUGCUUUCUCUUUUUUGCAGAGAUAUCUGAUUAAAUGCCUUUCAUACCUCUGUCAUCUUAGACGCUUCAUCAGAAACAGAGAACAUGGUAUCUGAAGUUUGUUGUUAGAGGAUCCAGUUUUGCAUAAUGCGUACACAUCUUACUUAGGUAAACAGCUUCACUAGCUUAUAAGCCUUUGGCAGGUUCUCGCAGGUAGUGUAUCAAAUAUGACUGGCAGCACAAUCAUAUAGAGGUUGACUCACAAUUUGGGGAGGUGGGGUUACUCCAUAGUAUUGUAUUAAUUAAUUAGCUUUUCUUACACGUAUAUCUCAUCUUUCUUCCCAUCAUGGAACCUAAGACAGUGUACAUGCCAUUCAAGCUUUAACUAGACCCAGAACUGCCUAACUUCAGAAGGGUGUUGGUCGUGUGUGCCUUCAGACUAUAUACUGGCACUGAUGUGUGUUUCAGUUUGCGACCUCACUAAUUUUCCCGUAUAGAAGAAAAUGCAAAUGCCUCUUUGGUAAGGAGGAUAGUUAUAUCUGUUCCUAAAGAUGAUGGUCUAGACUAGUGAAGUCUACUAACUGAACUCUGCUAAUCGACUUUUAGUGUUGUCAUUUUUAUUGUUGGCUUUCUUGAAGUGAUAGGAAAUGCAAAAUAUCAAUUUGUUGUGUCACAAAAAUUGAAAGCCCAACUUAAUGCUGUAUUGUUUUUAACACUUGAUUGGAAGCCGCCCAGAAUGGCUGGGGAAACUCAGCCAGAUGGGCGGGGUAUAAAUAAUAAUAAAUUAUUAUUAUUAUUAUUAUUAUUAUUAUUAUUAUUAUUAUUAUUAUUUCAGUAGGAGAAACCACAUGUUUAAAUCUCCCCCAUUUAAAUCACUUGAACUUAAGCACACUUUAUGAUGAAUGUUGUUGUUGCCAGAUUGUGCCCAAUAAUUGUACCUUCUGAACGAGUAAAAAUGUAAGUUAAAUUUAGGACUUGAAAGUAUCCUUUUGUAUCAUACUGCUAUACGGACACAACAAAGUUCAAUAUCUGCAAAGUCUGGUUUAUGGGAAGCCCUCUGUUUGUGUUCAAUGUCUAUCUGAAGCAUUUUGCAAUUGGUUUAAGCCUCCUUUGUCUCUAGACCAUGUCACUGAUCCAGGGACAAUACAAGGUUGUCCACCACCUUCUGCAACACUUUUGGUUCCUUCUGCAAAGAACUCUGGGUAAGAUAACACAUUGAGGAGCUAUGUUUUGGAUGUGUGUUUACCUCCAGUUUUGGAUGUGAUAAUUGGUACCCUCGGGGGGUUUUUUGUUGUUGUUUUAACUAUAGCUGGUCUGUGUGCAGACUGCUCUUUCUGGGUCUGGGUAAGACAUCCUUCUGCCAUCUCUACUUGACUCCUCCAAUUCUAAAGCAUCUCUGAUGGUGAUCUUUUCUUAUCGAGCUCUAGCACCGUCACCUUUCCCAAGGCUUCCUGCUCCCUCAAAUGACUUUGUCUUUUCCCCCUUGAUGCCCUUAGUUCCUCUUCCUCCUAGAAUGCCUCUGUGGUUCCAAUGUCUUGUUCUUCCUUCAAAUCCGUUCUCAAAAUCUGUAUUUCCCAUGAAGCCUUUCACAUAACCUCCUCAUUCCCAGAUCUAGUAUGACCAAGCCAAGUGUGUAUAACUGUUGAUCCCUGCCUUCCUUUCUCUUCCUUUCCUCUGUUGUGUUGAUUUUUAGAUUGUAAGCUGCUCAGGGCGGGGAUCUGUCGUCAUUUGAAAAGUGCCAUGUACAUAGAUGGCACUAGAUAAACAAAAAAAUAGAAUUUUGAAGUCGUCUUAGUUCGUCUUCCAUUUCUAACCAUUCUGACAAGAACUUAAGUGUAUUCCUUUGUGGGUCAAAAUAUUCCACAUUAUCAGUGCAGUCACUGAAAAGGCCCUAUCUCUUGUCAUCAUCUAUAUCUCCACCCCUGGCAGGAAACAAAGAAGGGCCUCUCAUAUUUCAGUGACGCAUCUCACUUGUAGUUGAACUCUUGAGGUGUUAGUGUCAAUCAUGGAUAAAAUGUUGUUAGAAUCUAUCACGAAAGCUUUUAUCAGGUCUUUUUGCAAUUUGGUAGUAAUUCGUUAGUGAAUGCAAAUGGAUUUUUUCCUCAAUGAAAGUUAGAUCAAGAAGUUCAGCUGCAUUACAUCACCUCCUUGUUUGGUAUGCAAUAAAAACAUUCCUCUGUGCUUGAAUAAAUAAACAUCAUAAGCAACUCUUCCCAAUUUGCAUGUUACAGAAACCACGGAGACUGUAGCAAGGUCAGGAAAACAUGGAUAUUUCCAACUGGCCAGUCAACAAAUAUUAUUAAGCACGCAGCUGAUCUCAUAGGGCAUGGGUUAAAAAGGAAAUUCAUCCUGAAAUUGAGGGUGGAAGCUAGUGUGUCUCCCCUAUGACCUAGUUCCAUGAGUCAAUAUGCUGACAAAGGAGCACGUAGGACUUGGGUAUGAGGAUCCCAUGAGAAUGCAAGGGCAUGAUGUUUGACCCUAGCCCCACUGCCAGCACAAUAACAAGCAUUGGUGCUAUUCUACCAGCAGCAAACCCCUGCCGUUGCCUUGGCACAACUGUACUGCCUUGGCACAACAUUUAAUGAAGCUUGGGAAAGGUUUACCCCAAUCCACUUCUGCACCACAAGCAGUCCAGGAGUCAAAAGUCACAAUAUUUCUUGUAACAAAGGCAGAACAGGGCCAAGGGCUGGGUUUCUUACAUUAGCCGUGGCGGGGCAGCUAAAACAGAGGAGUGCCUAGGAGUUGGCAAAGCCAGCUCUGCUGAGAGCACAAGUCUGAGGGAAGGGGCACAAAAAUCACCCCAGAAAUCAGUCUCCAGUUAUCUGUAAUGUCAUGAGUUUAGACAAGAGCUGGAAAUUGAGCAGUAGGAGAAAUGGCAAGACGGUAUGAAGGUAGACGGCUGGAGACUAUGGAGUGUGUGACUUAGAUGUGUGUGGUUAUGUGACAUCACUGUUGUGACAAGAUCAAAUGUGGGGAAAGUGAUUUUUUUGGGGGGGAGUGCUGGUACAGGUCCUUGCCAAGGGCACAAGUGACCCCAACAGGAGAAGUGGGAUUUGGGGGGGCACAGAUCAAAAAAGCUCCUUGCUAAGCGUGAAAGGGACCUUAAGUACACCUAGAGUGACAGACUUUGAGCGCUGGUUUGAACAUGCAUAUGUAUUACUUGGCAGCUGUAGCAUCAACUGAGGACUUGGUGUAUAUCUGAUUGUGCAUUUGCAUUAGAAAUCACAGAUGGAUUGGGGAGGAGUGGCCAGACAGAAAAGGGUUAAGCAGUCUCUUCCUUGGCAUUUCCCAUCACCAACACCAAAUUCACAGGCUCCUGGGACUGCCUUGGUAGAGGGAGAAAAGGGGGAGAGUUGCAUUCAAUUGUGUGCCAUGUCUAGGUUGGGCCUGAGUUGGUUAAUCGAACACAGCUUUGAAAGAUUUGAAGUUCAAAUCAAUGCCAUUCCGUAAAGCUUCAUUCCAUGAGAACCAGUCUUCUGGGGCCUGUUCCCGAGAUUUCAGAGGCAAGUCAGCAAUCCUUGUGUAAUGAUGCAAUCCAGACUAUUGCAUAAGGAGCAGGCACUUGGGUGAUAUGAAAUAAAUUCCUGAGCUUGCAGCAACAUCUGAGACUUGACAGUGCUGUUGAUAUAAAGAUUUUCAGUGCAUAUAAAGAUUUUAAGCAUUAAGAAACUGAAAUGCCCGAAUGUCUUGUCCCCUAAAUACAGCAGGGGUUGUGUAGUAGUUAAGAGCAUGGCAAUAACUUAGUGGUUCAAAUUUCGUCCGAAUCAGGGCUUCAACCAGAACUUGCUGGAACUUGGUUCCAGCACCUCUCAGAUGGGCACCAUUGCCAUUAUAAGAGAACUAGGGAGACAUUCAUGGUGAGUUCUGGCACCUCAUUUUCUAGAAAAAUACCACUGGUCUUAAUCAUAAAUUUACUGGGAAGUCUUAGGUUAUCUGGAGUCUCGUGGUCCUAGCCUGUCUGCACCUUAUUACCUUACCCACUCUGGUUCCUUCCAACUCUACAAUUCCAUGAUUCUAUGAUUCUGCCAUCUAGGGUGCUGAUGAUAAUACUGGCCCAACCUAGGAAGGUGGUUGCAGUGAUUAUAGAGGUAAGAUUUAUUAGCUGUUUUGAGGCACUGGGUCGGGGGGCUUAGUAUAAAGAUACUAAGGAUUAAUAUUCUUAAAGAAACAGUAGUAUGUAUAAAAUACAUAUAAGACCAAUGAGAAGGUGGUGAGUGGGGUGGAAAUGGGAACUCUCCCUGGAAGUGACACUAAUAAGACAAGCUGCCCCAUCAAUAAAUCUAGGAUGUACUGAUCUUUUACCAGAAUAGCAUUGCCAGGCAUGAUGCUGAGGAAAUGCUUGUUGCAUGGAUGUAAAUAUAGAGGGGGGGUAGGCAGAAUAGCAAUGCUUUUCUUCCUUUCAGGGAAGUUCCCAGUUGCUAAAAAGAAGCUUGGAUUAUGCUAAUUUUUUCUUUACAAUUAUGUACCAUAUGUUCCCGUUGAGUAUUUAAAAAUCUAAUUUUACUGGAAAUUUCAAGAUAAGUUAAAUUUGUAAAAAUGCUUUUUAUUUUUCAAAGAAAGAGAUAUGGGACCAUUGCAUGUAAAUAAUAGAAUAUAUUUUCCGUAUUAUUGCUCUGUAUUUUUAUAUGCUAAAUCUCUAGCUUCAGACUAUGUUUUACUAACCCUGAUGCAGUGGAAACUUUUAUUUAUUUAAAAACAAGAAUGAUGUAUUUUGACUCCACGGAGAUAUAGAUAUAGAUAUAUAUUACAAGAUAAACAUUUGCAGGUGUUUCAUUAAUGGCUGAUCUACUUUUCAUUUGUUGCAAACCUGUAUGUUGUUACACACUUUUUGAUCCUGUCCGCCAUAGCUUUAUAACCACCAAAAGAUCACCUGAUCAACAGAAUACUUUUCGAAACAUGUUAUUCUAAUUCCUGUUCUACCAGUUCAUACAUUAAAAAUCAAAUAGGAAUUUUAAA
Podarcis raffonei (Aeolian wall lizard) is the source of this 8961-nucleotide long non-coding RNA. RefSeq lists it as uncharacterized. The transcript has 2 exons. Lineage: Eukaryota; Metazoa; Chordata; Lepidosauria; Squamata; Lacertidae. The record is from RefSeq and is a predicted model, not a curated record.